AUGGGCCAGGACCCAUUUCAGCGAUGCCAAAGUGCAAUUCCACCUGGCCUGCGAGGUGAUACUGCGGCUGGACGUUGCACAAGAGAAGCGUGCCUCACUCUAGGUGAAUUCAACCUGCGCAAGCAGCUUAAGCAAAGAAUCCUUGGUUUGGCUGCGAUUGAGAGAGCUCGCAAGAGGCAAGCCUCCCGGAUCACCUGGCUCAAGGAGGGGGACGCACGCUCUGCAUUUUUCCAAGCAAAAAUCAACUCACGCAAGCAGAAAAACUUCAUCCACUCCCUGGAAGUGGACAAUACUGUGAUCACCGCACAUGAUGAAAAGGCCUCUGUUGCACACUCACACUUCUCCAACCUGAUGGGAACAAAGGAGGAUAGAAAAUGCUCGUUCAACUGGGAGGAGCUGGACAUGCCCACAGUUCAGAAUGAGGGGCUCGACAACCUCUUCGCUGAAGCCAAAGUU
This 456-nucleotide ribosomal RNA is filed under the name Triticum aestivum (bread wheat). Its description in RNAcentral is "partial small subunit ribosomal RNA". Lineage: Eukaryota; Viridiplantae; Streptophyta; Magnoliopsida; Poales; Poaceae. The record is from RNAcentral.